Molecule: ribosomal RNA, 229 nt
Filed under: uncultured bacterium
Lineage: Bacteria
Description: partial 16S ribosomal RNA
Rfam family: Bacterial small subunit ribosomal RNA
Source: RNAcentral
CAUGUAGGCGGCAUGACAAGUCUGGUGUGAAAUAUCUCGGCUCAACCGAGAAAACGCACUGGAAACUGUCAAGCUUGAGUAUCGGAGGGGAAGCUAGAAUUCCUGGUGUAGGGGUGAAAUCUGUAGAUAUCAGGAAGAAUACCGGUGGCGAAGGCGAGCUUCUGGCCAGAUACUGUCGCUGAGAUGCGAAAGCGUGGGGAGCGAACAGGAUUAGAUACCCUGGUAGUCC